GAUGAACGCUAGCGACAGGCCUAACACAUGCAAGUCGAGGGGCAGCACAUGAGUAGCAAUACGAUGGUGGCGACCGGCGCACGGGUGAGUAACACGUAUGCAACCUACCGGUAAAAGGGGGAUAGCCUCUCGAAAGAGAGAUUAAUACCGCAUAAUAUCUCUGGAUGGCAUCAUUUAGAGAUUAAACAUUUAUGGUUCACCGAUGGGCAUGCGUAUGAUUAGCUAGUAGGUGAGGUAACGGCUCACCUAGGCAACGAUCAUUAGGGGUUCUGAGAGGAAGGUCCCCCACACUGGUACUGAGACACGGACCAGACUCCUACGGGAGGCAGCAGUGAGGAAUAUUGGUCAAUGGGCGAGAGCCUGAACCAGCCAAGUCGCGUGAAGGAUGAAGGUUCUAUGGAUUGUAAACUUCUUUUGUAAGGGAAUAAAAAGAGCUACGUGUAGUUUAUUGUAUGUACUUUACGAAUAAGGAUCGGCUAACUCCGUGCCAGCAGCCGCGGUAA
This 503-nucleotide ribosomal RNA is filed under the name uncultured bacterium. RNAcentral describes it as "partial 16S ribosomal RNA". It matches the Rfam family "Bacterial small subunit ribosomal RNA", at positions 28 to 523 of the family's 1533-position model. The record is from RNAcentral.